GAAAACAGAGGUGGGGGUGUCUGGUGAAGUGGACCUUGCUGCCUGCCUAACAGACGAACUGCACCUGCCUGGGAGCCCUACCUCUUCAGUAUCUCCCCCAAACACGCCCAGACACCUAAGCAGAUAGGAAUGUCAAGAUCUUCAGUGAAAACUGUUUUGGUGAUGGAAGACAGCCACCAGGAAACCCUGCCGAAAGAAUGGGUCAGAUCAAUAAUCUGAGCGGUCCCAGUCCUCCUCCAAUGGCUGAUGGAUGAGGAAGGAAGUCACUCUGAAAACUCAGGUUUACACAACAUCUACUUGUACAAUCAAGCACACACUCUCAGGCUGCAUGAAGUACUGUCGCAGACAGGACUGCAAACCCUCUCAGGGCCCUGGGGUUCCCCUAAACCAGACCGUGAGCCUCUUGAGACGGCGGAUCCCCAACAGUGCCCAGAACCUGGGAAGGAG
This 447-nucleotide long non-coding RNA is filed under the name Homo sapiens (human). RNAcentral describes it as "HSALNT0396071". The record is from RNAcentral. Lineage: Eukaryota; Metazoa; Chordata; Mammalia; Primates; Hominidae.